Molecule: ribosomal RNA, 466 nt
Filed under: uncultured bacterium
Lineage: Bacteria
Description: partial 16S ribosomal RNA
Rfam family: Bacterial small subunit ribosomal RNA
Source: RNAcentral
GACGAACGCUGGCGGCGUGCUUAACACAUGCAAGUCGUGCGGUAAGGCCCUUUCGGGGGUACCCGAGCGGCGAACGGGUGAGUAACACGUGAGCAACCUGCCCUUCACUUUUGGAUAACUGCCGGAACCGGGGGCUAAUACCGGAUAUGACUUCCUCACGCAUGUGGGGUGGUGGAAAGCCUUCGGGUGGUGGGGGAUGGGCUCGCGGUCUAUCCGCUUGUUGGUGGGGGGAUGGCAUACCAAGGCUUCGACGGGUAGCCGGCAUGGGAGGGUGAACGGGCACCAUGCGACUGAGAGACGGAGCAGACGCGUAUGUGAGGCAGCAGGGGGGAGUAUUGGACAACGAGAGCGCGCCUGAUCAAGAAGCGCCGCGUGAGGGAUGACGGCCUGCGGGUUGUAAACAUCUUUAGCUUGAGACGAAGCGAGAGUGACGGUAGCAGGUAAAGAAGCACCGGCCAACUACGUG